ACUUGGUGAUGUGGGCAUUUGCACAGAAGGUCCCUAAAGUGCUCCUAUGUCUCAAAAAACUCUUCCCCAUCCAAUUGGGAGAAACUGGUGAUCACCAUCCUAAGCU
This is a small nucleolar RNA of Malania oleifera, 106 nucleotides long. The record is from RefSeq and is a predicted model, not a curated record. NCBI's taxonomy places the organism in Eukaryota, Viridiplantae, Streptophyta, Magnoliopsida, Santalales, Ximeniaceae.